This 1998-nucleotide ribosomal RNA is filed under the name Triticum aestivum (bread wheat). Its description in RNAcentral is "partial small subunit ribosomal RNA". The record is from RNAcentral. Lineage: Eukaryota; Viridiplantae; Streptophyta; Magnoliopsida; Poales; Poaceae.
AUGGCAGCAGGACUAGAUCCGCUAGUGGCGCUCUGGAAGGAGUGGGGAAUCCAGGUGCUAGUGCUGCUGAGUUUAGCACUGCAGGUGAUUCUCCUGGUAACGGCAGAGAUCCGCCGUCGCAAGGACUCUGGCGUGUUAAGGGUCGUCGUGUGGUCGGCGUACCUGAUGGCCGACAUGACGGCGAUUUACACUCUGGGCCAUAUGUUGGUGACUAGCAGGUUACCGGAGCAUGAGUUGGUGGCGUUCUGGGCGCCGUUCCUGCUACUGCACCUCGGCGGUCAGGACAACAUCACCGCCUACUCCAUUGAGGACAAUCGGUUGUGGCUGCGUCACCUGCAGAGUUUUGUGGUGCAGGUCCUCGCAGCCAUAUAUGUCCUCUACGAGUCAUCAAUCUUCACAGGUGGCCGCCAGAGCAUGCUCGGCCAGGCCACCAUCCUCAUGUUUGUAGUUGGUGUUGUCAAGUACGGGGAGAGAGUAUGGGCACUCAAGUCUGCCAGCAGCAGUGCCCUGUCUGGGAAGAACUACAACAGUUUUGGUAGGUUGCACUUUGUGAACCCCUAUACUACCAGAAGUUGGUCGCCGGCACCAUUUCUAGCACAUGACUUGUUGAGCGUACCCAAGCAUCUACUUAAGGGGCCGUUACCUCUUGUGGCAUUUGACAUGAAAGCAUGUUGUAGCUGGGAGGACAUGUACAAUAUAGCCGAGAACCAACUCUCGUUGAUGUACGAUGUCUUCUACAGCAAAGCUGAGUUGAUCCACACUUGGUACGGGCACUGCAUCCGCCUAACCUCGCUGGCAGCCACUGCCACCGCACUGCGGCUAUUGUUCCUUGGAUUAAGUGACAAAGAUGGUUACAACAGAGUAGAUGUCGCUGCCACUUAUGUUUUGCUAGCUGGAGCCGUCGUCCUGGAGAUCACAUCCCUGCUGAGAGCCAUGUGCUCCAGCUGGUCACUCCAGCAAAUGAUCACAUUAGCUCGUGGCCACACUGUUGUUAGUAGACGAUUAGUUUAUUUGUUCUAUCCUGCAUUUUUAUGUGGGCACCUCGUCAGAUUUGCAUUGCCGAGACUAGGAAUACAAAUAAGGUGCUGGUCGGGCACCAUGGGGCAACACAACUGGAUUUACAUGUGCAGCCACUGCAAGGACAGCCGAAGCAGCAAAAUCGCGAGAUGGAUGGGACGGGAGGACUGGUGGAACACACUGGUUUACACCUCGUCGUCUGUCUCCGUCUCGGCAGAUUUCAGGCUGCUGCUGAAGGAACAACUGAGGGGAAGCGUUGGCGUCGACGAAGAGAACGCCGAGCACAUCCAAAACUCACGGGGCCGGGCAGCGCUGAAGAAGAAGGGAUUGUAUGAUGACGAGUUGUUGGCCUGGAGCGUGGACACUGAGCUGGACCAGAGCAUCCUCGUCUGGCACAUUGCUACUCAUGUCUACCUCAGCUGGUACAAGGCGGAACACGGAUGCCUGCCGCAUCAUGCAAAGGUGACCGAGGAGCUCUCCAACUACAUGAUGUUCUUGCUUGCGGCACGUCCCUACAUGCUGCCUGACAAUGCUAGUCGUCAAAAGUAUAUUGAACUGUGCAACAAGGUGAUCAAUGAUCUGAAACUGAAAUACAGCUCGGCUGAGGAUUUAAUCAUGUUGGUACGUAACCACGGAGAUGCGCUCGGCGCGGGACGAGCUCAACCUUCCGGCAAUGCUGAUACAAUCGAAGAGAAUGCUGAUAUAAUCAUAGAGAAUGAAACUUUCGACAGGGCAUCUCAGCUUAGCACGAAGCUGAUUACCAUGGAAACACCUGAUACCGGCAUGCUGAAGCUGAUCAACCAAGUGUGGGUGGAGAUGCUGAGCUACGCGGGAUACCGGUGCAGGCCGGAUUCUCAUGCUAGACAGUUGAGCAACGGCGGCGAGAUCACCACCAUCGUUGUCCUUUUGGUGGAAUACUUGAAAUCUGAUUUUCUGGAGUUCGAAAAAGUAGAGCAAGAUGCUGAGUUGGGGAUGCCGUAA